Molecule: ribosomal RNA, 699 nt
Filed under: Escherichia coli
Lineage: Bacteria; Pseudomonadati; Pseudomonadota; Gammaproteobacteria; Enterobacterales; Enterobacteriaceae
Description: partial 23S ribosomal RNA
Rfam family: Bacterial large subunit ribosomal RNA
Source: RNAcentral
CCCGUAAUCCGGGUUGCGGACAGUGUCUGGUGGGUAGUUUGACUGGGGCGGUCUCCUCCUAAAGAGUAACGGAGGAGCACGAAGGUUGGCUAAUCCUGGUCGGACAUCAGGAGGUUAGUGCAAUGGCAUAAGCCAGCUUGACUGCGAGCGUGACGGCGCGAGCAGGUGCGAAAGCAGGUCAUAGUGAUCCGGUGGUUCUGAAUGGAAGGGCCAUCGCUCAACGGAUAAAAGGUACUCCGGGGAUAACAGGCUGAUACCGCCCAAGAGUUCAUAUCGACGGCGGUGUUUGGCACCUCGAUGUCGGCUCAUCACAUCCUGGGGCUGAAGUAGGUCCCAAGGGUAUGGCUGUUCGCCAUUUAAAGUGGUACGCGAGCUGGGUUUAGAACGUCGUGAGACAGUUCGGUCCCUAUCUGCCGUGGGCGCUGGAGAACUGAGGGGGGCUGCUCCUAGUACGAGAGGACCGGAGUGGACGCAUCACUGGUGUUCGGGUUGUCAUGCCAAUGGCACUGCCCGGUAGCUAAAUGCGGAAGAGAUAAGUGCUGAAAGCAUCUAAGCACGAAACUUGCCCCGAGAUGAGUUCUCCCUGACUCCUUGAGAGUCCUGAAGGAACGUUGAAGACGACGACGUUGAUAGGCCGGGUGUGUAAGCGCAGCGAUGCGUUGAGCUAACCGGUACUAAUGAACCGUGAGGCUUAACCUU